CCUACGGGUGGCAGCAGUGAGGAAUAUUGGUCAAUGGCCGCGAGCCUGAACCAGCCAAGUCGCGUGAGGGAUGACGGUCCAGUGUAUUGUAAACCUCUUUUGUCAGGGAGCAAAGGCGGCGACGAGUGGCGUUUUGCGAGUACCUGAAGAAAAAGCAUCGGCUAACUCCGUGCCAGCAGCCGCGGUAAUACGGAGGAUGCGAGCGUUAUCCGGAUUUAUUGGGUUUAAAGGGUGCGCAGGCGGAAUGUCAAGUCAGCGGUAAAAGCUCGGGGCUCAACCCCGUCGGGCCGUUGAAACUGGCGUGCGUGAGUGAGAGAGAAGUAUGCGGAAUGCGUGGUGUAGCGGUGAAAUGCAUAGAUAUCACGCAGAACUCCGAUUGCGAAGGCAGCAUACCGGCGCCAAACUGACGCUGAGGCACGAAAGCGUGGGUAUCGAACAGGAUUAGAUACCCCUGUAGUC
This 459-nucleotide ribosomal RNA is filed under the name uncultured bacterium. RNAcentral describes it as "partial 16S ribosomal RNA". It matches the Rfam family "Bacterial small subunit ribosomal RNA", at positions 338 to 795 of the family's 1533-position model. The record is from RNAcentral.